This 481-nucleotide ribosomal RNA is filed under the name uncultured bacterium. RNAcentral's name for it is "partial 16S ribosomal RNA". It matches the Rfam family "Bacterial small subunit ribosomal RNA", at positions 30 to 507 of the family's 1533-position model. The record is from RNAcentral.
AUUGAACGCUGGCGGCAUGCUUUACACAUGCAAGUCGAACGGUAACAGGCCGCAAGGUGCUGACGAGUGGCGAACGGGUGAGUAAUGCAUCGGAACGUGCCAGUCGUGGGGGAUAACUACUCGAAAGAGUAGCUAAUACCGCAUACGAUCUAUGGAUGAAAGCGGGGGACCGUAAGGCCUCGCGCGAUUGGAGCGGCCGAUGUCAGAUUAGGUAGUUGGUGGGGUAAAGGCUCACCAAGCCAACGAUCUGUAGCUGGUCUGAGAGGACGACCAGCCACACUGGGACUGAGACACGGCCCAGACUCCUACGGGAGGCAGCAGUGGGGAAUUUUGGACAAUGGGCACAAGCCUGAUCCAGCAAUGCCGCGUGCAGGAAGAAGGCCUUCGGGUUGUAAACUGCUUUUGUACGGAACGAAACGGCUCUGGUUAAUACCCGGGGCUAAUGACGGUACCGUAAGAAUAAGCACCGGCUAACUACGUG